CAUCCUGCUCAACGCCCCGCGCAGCCGUUUGACCUCCGCCUCGCCUCCCUGCCUCAUCUGCAGACGCAGGCUACUUCUCGGACAGUGUCACUUAACGGCCACCCCCUGAAGAAGGAACUCCUUCCACCAGACCCCAUCUAAGGCUCGUUUCUCCCCAGGGCUCUGCUCUGGCUGCAGCUUGCUGCCUUCUCCGCGUCCAGCAGCUACCUGGGUGAGCUGCUCAGACCCCUCCAGGAGGCAGUAACCGGGCCCCAGAGAUUUUAGGACGGUCUCUAUUCCAAACAGUUCAUCAGACUAUGUGUCCAGUGACGCAUCUCGACUCUUCAAAACAUACAGGUGAUAAUGCACAGAAUGGAAGUGUGAAAGACAAAGCAAACAAAGCCCAAAAAUAAACACCAAACCAAUGCUCACCCCAAAUGAGUACAAACAGGGACAGAACUAGCAAUUGUUUUCUGUGGAUGUUUUGUUUCCUGUCUCAGAACAGAAAGAAAGAAAGAACCCAAGAAAGACAACAACAGCGCACAGCCUCUGCAGGGCACAGAAGUUUCCACCCGCUAAGACAACAGCAGGAAUCUUCCCGGAAUCAUCUUCCCUGACUGGGCACUAAUAAUUAUGUUGCCAAGAAAAUCUUGUCUCCUUAGACUUAUGUAGGACAGGAAGGAAAAUGUAGCCAGAAAGGUCAAGUUGAGUCCAGAAGACUGGAGAAUCUCCUUCUAGUCACCGCCCUCAGCUUUCCAUUGCAUGGUAACCAGACUCAAAAUUUCAGAGCAAAAUAUGGAAGCGGCUGUGCUGCGUAGGCCUCCCAGGCCCAGAGACUCGGGCAACUGCUCCACUGACCUCCGAGGGGCUGUCAGAAAACAGAUGUGCAGGGAAAAGCUGCUCGCCGGGCACUUAUGAGUCAUCGUGAGGAGCAGGGAAGAGGUGUUCACUUUGCUUUCCAGGAGACGCUCGACAUCUGAAAGGCAGGUGACACAACCUAGCGCUUCCAGGGGGUAGCAAGUGCAUUCGCUGCCUGUUCAGCGACAGUAAUAGUGAUCAUAGUAACCGUCAGAACUACUCCUUAUUGGGACAUAUGCUUUAAAUAUUUUCUCAUUGAAUCCCCAUAGCAACUCUAUCAACAUUACUAAUUUACCUACAAGGAAACAGACUUAGAAAUGUCAAGAAACAUACCCGAUGUCAUACAGCUAGUAAGUGCCAAAGCUAUGCUUUCCUGUCUCCUUUAAUGGGCAACAGAGGGGUUGCUGAGCAAUUAAUUCAAGAAGAAAAAAAGCAAAAUUCAGUUGAACAUUUCCACGAAGAUUAGCCAACCGCUGCUUAGUGGUGUCAACAGAAACUGCUCCGGGCCAAGCUCCAUUCCUUCACCAGUCCCAGCAUCAGAAUCACCUACUCACUUACAAAAAAGGCCAAUCCUUAGGCCCAUCCCAGACUUACUGAGUCAGAAUCUUCUGAGAUGGGGCCUAGGAAUGCUCAUUUUACAUGCCCCCCACACCUAACACCCCCAGGAAACUCUGCUGCACAGUCAAGUUUGAGAACAGCUUCUUGUGGAUGACAAAUCUCUUGGGUCACCUGGAAGACCCAGUUUAUACCUGUUGUCCUGGCAUAAAUAGCAGUAGUGCCCCCCUUUAUUGUCAUAAGUGUUCCAUUUUAGACAAUUUGCAUGUAUAUAUUCCUAUAUUUUUUGUACCAAAAUCAGGCCAUGCUGUACAUGCUAUUUUAUAACCUGGAUCUUUUAUCUAAUGAUUUCUACUUUUCCGUGUAAAUAAAAUUUUGUCUCUUCUAA
Molecule: non-coding RNA, 1780 nt
Organism: Miniopterus natalensis
Lineage: Eukaryota; Metazoa; Chordata; Mammalia; Chiroptera; Miniopteridae
Source: RefSeq, a predicted model, not a curated record